UACGGAGGGGGCUAGCGUUGUUCGGAAUUACUGGGCGUAAAGCGCACGUAGGCGGAUUGUUAAGUCGGGGGUGAAAUCCUGGGGCUCAACCUCAGAAUUGCCUCCGAUACUGGCAGUCUCGAGUGCGGGAGAGGUGAGUGGAAUUCCCAGUGUAGAGGUGAAAUUCGUAGAUAUUGGGAAGAACACCAGUGGCGAAGGCGGCUCACUGGCCCGUAACUGACGCUGAGGUGCGAAAGCGUGGGGAGCAAACAGG
RNAcentral lists this ribosomal RNA (253 nucleotides) under uncultured bacterium. Its description in RNAcentral is "partial 16S ribosomal RNA". It matches the Rfam family "Bacterial small subunit ribosomal RNA", at positions 524 to 776 of the family's 1533-position model. The record is from RNAcentral.